GAGUUUGAUCCUGGCUCAGGACGAACGCUGGCGGCGUGCCUAAUACAUGCAAGUCGAGCGGACAGAAGGGAGCUUGCUCCCGGAUGUUAGCGGCGGACGGGUGAGUAACACGUGGGUAACCUGCCUGUAAGACUGGGAUAACUCCGGGAAACCGGAGCUAAUACCGGAUAGUUCCUUGAACCGCAUGGUUCAAGGAUGAAAGACGGUUUCGGCUGUCACUUACAGAUGGACCCGCGGCGCAUUAGCUAGUUGGUGGGGUAAUGGCUCACCAAGGCGACGAUGCGUAGCCGACCUGAGAGGGUGAUCGGCCACACUGGGACUGAGACACGGCCCAGACUCCUACGGGAGGCAGCAGUAGGGAAUCUUCCGCAAUGGACGAAAGUCUGACGGAGCAACGCCGCGUGAGUGAUGAAGGUUUUCGGAUCGUAAAGCUCUGUUGUUAGGGAAGAACAAGUGCSAGAGUAACUGCUCGCACCUUGACGGUACCUAACCAGAAAGCCACGGCUAACUACGUGCCAGCAGCCGCGG
This 528-nucleotide ribosomal RNA is filed under the name Bacillus pumilus. Its description in RNAcentral is "bacterial SSU rRNA". It matches the Rfam family "Bacterial small subunit ribosomal RNA", at positions 9 to 520 of the family's 1533-position model. Lineage: Bacteria; Bacillati; Bacillota; Bacilli; Caryophanales; Bacillaceae. The record is from RNAcentral.